GUGCUCACUUCGGCAGCACAUGUACUAAAACUGGAAGAAUACGGAGAAGAUUAGCAUGGCCCCUGUGCAAGGAUGACACACAAAUCUGUGAAACGUCACAUGUUAAA
RNAcentral lists this small nuclear RNA (107 nucleotides) under Myotis davidii. Lineage: Eukaryota; Metazoa; Chordata; Mammalia; Chiroptera; Vespertilionidae. The record is from RNAcentral.